UUCAAUGCCAAUUUUGUGUAAUGGCGAAGUUUCCCACUUCCCGUGAAUGCCUCUUUUUUUACGUCUCUGGCUGACUCCUGAAUCUCCGCCCACUCUCUGCUCGAUCCCUGCUGAGUGAAAGAGAUCUUUGGUUUUGCCUUUGCUGACUGCUGAUCUGAUCGUCUCAAGUCUGGUGACCUGCUGCAGAAAACCCUCUCCCUCUAUCGUUGACAAGCAAUUAACAAGCAAUUUCAGUCUGUCCUAUCACUCUCCCUCUCCCUGCUCCAUCUUUUUUGACAAGCCAUUCUAUCUUCUGUCAUUUCUCCGCCAUGAGCUCUAUCUAAUUUUGACAAGCUUAAACCUGUGUUGACAAGAAAUCUAAGUUUGACAAGAAACCAAGUUUGACAAGAAACCAAGUUUUUGGAAAUUGAAGUUACCACAACUUCGUCGAUCUGUUUUCAGAAAUCUGAGAGAUCUCCGCUCUCACUGCUCCUUCUUUCCUGUUGUUAAACUCUCUCAUAUCCACUCAUUUUACUGGAAAUUACAAGUAGAACGUUGAAUAUACAGUAGUAGAAUUACAGUACAGUAGAACUCACAGUAGAAAGUAGCCCUACAUUUGUCAUUUUAAUUUUGCAUUACACUUUGGAAUAAACAUUGAUUGGCUGUUUGGCUUACAGGUGCAAUUACUUUGAUAAAUUAUAUAAAAUAUACACCUCUUAAAGGUUUAUUUGUAAUAAGACAAUCUGGUUAUUUUGUAAUAUAUACAUGCAGACUGCUGUAUUAAAUUAGAUUCAAAUACAUUUUUCAAGUUUGUUUCAUUGACUAUAACAUUUGACUACAAGUUUAUACUAUUAUUAUUUAAGGACAAACCCAUUUUUGUCACUCAGUGUAAGUAUUCAGUUACAGUUGUCAUCUAUAGGCUGCUCUGAGAACCCAGACUUCCUGUUUCCUGACUGCUGCAGAACAUCCAGCUGAAGAAUCCUCAUCGCCUGUCAUCUGAUCACCACACCAUCACAGCUCCUUAUAUUUGCUUAAAAUUUUAGAUAUCUGAAAGAUUUACACAAAGUCUACUUAAAAGCUAAGAGUUUUAUUAUAGCCUGUUGAUUGAUUGUUGAGAUUUAUUCUGCAUAUUACAGAAGUAUAGACCUAUUUGUUAUCCAGUCUAGUUAAAAAAAAUAUAAGAAGUAAUAAUAUACAGUUUUUGAAAAAGCUACAAUAAAACAGACCAAAGUGUUUUCAAAGAACUUUAAAUAACCUUUAUAUUGAGUUUGUAUUUAAGUCAGCCUUUUACAUCAAUUCUGAUAAAUAUCUGAUGUAAUAGAAACUUGAGGAGUCAUUAGUUUUUCAGUGUUUACAGGUUGAGUUUUGUUUACAUUUGUGUAUAAAUACAUAUAAGGUCCAGUUUGUACUUCAAUAAAAUGCCAAGAAAAGGUCAAAGGUCGCAGUCCCAGAAGCUUAGAUGGCAAAAGCAGAAAGAACAGGUAAAUGUUUCUCAGACCGGUGAGCAGGUAAAGGUGUCUGUUACAAGUAUUCCCAGUCCAGAAGUGCAGAGCAGUGUUCAGACAGCCACAGUGUCUUAUGCAGAUGUGGUAAAGAGAGGUGUUCGCUCAGCAUCUGUGCCAAAUGCUAAAGUACAGCAGGUAAUCCAGACUGAACCCCAGGUAACUGUGCAAACGCAGCAUGAUGGAGAAGCUCCAGGACCAUCUCAUGUACAGGUUACAAACAAUGAAAGUCGUCCACGAGUGAGUAGCAUCUGUGCGUCCCGAAGCCAGGCUUCUCCUAGGUAUGGAAAGUACCGGAAUCAGCAAUGCAUGGCUAACAGUUUGGUUUUCCUGUCAUUCUUACAUGAGGAUGAAUUUAUUACCAGAGCAGAUCUUAACCGUGUGUUGGACAAAGGCCAUGCAGUGUAUUCAGAUGCCAGAAAGAGGUUUGUGAACAGCGUGUUUCUAGCCUGCGAUGAGCUUCCCACAGUGGUCACCAGCCGCAGACACGAGUAUCAAGUGGACAUGUCUCAGUUUGCUCGUUAUGGUACAUUUGAUGGUACAAAUCAUCUUCCGAGCCUUGAACAGGGACUACAGUGUUUGGCUUCAGAGUUUCGCUACGCUUUGCUAGUCAUGGGAGGAACGGUGAUCGCAGUUUGCAGGCUGACUUCAGGUGAAUACGCAUACUUUGACCCUCACCCACGUAGGUCUACAGGAAUGCCAUUGUCGCUAGCUGUAGGUGGUGGAACUGCAGUUAUGUUAAAAUUCACACGUCUUAAUGACAUGAUUGACAGGAUCAAACGCUUGUACCGAAUGUUUAGCAUCGCACCAACCUGCACUUAUGAGCUACAGCCUGUUGAGUUUCACAGUGAAAACGCUGCUGACCAAAGAGAUGCUAAUCAAACCACCGAAUACAGACAACCUGCUACAAGUGUUCCAGCAGCAGCUUUAAAUGAACCUGUCCAUGAAUUAAAUUCCCAAACAGCCACUGAGAAGACACAGAAAACUUUGAUGGAGACUUUAACCACUGAAGUCACGUCAUUCAGCAUGGAUUCAAAUAAGACAGCUGCUGCAUCUCUGCUACAUCCAACAUCUGCAUCUGCUGUUAGAGAAACUCAGGUAACAUCAGAUUCUGCUCCUCAGAAUAAUUCAAACACUGCCUCCUGUUCAAGUAGGACAUCAGAUGAAAUCUCACAUAAAUUUCUGAAAUGUAAUAAGCAGGAAAGGAGAAAAAUGAGGAGAAGAUUGUUAGCUCAACCAAAACUACCAAUAAGAAAGGAAAAUCAGAAAAAGAAAGAAAGGCAGAUGUACACUUUUGAUGGAAGCUUUAAGGCAAAGAAAAAAAACUCCAGUAGAAAGUUUAAUGAUCCUGAUCACAGACAGAAGAAGAAUGUGUACAAAAAAAAUCUGUAUAAACUAAAUGCUACAUAUAGAGAGAAACAGAGAGAACAUUUGAGAAAGAUCUAUAGAGAAAGGGAUGAUUUUAAGGAAAAACAGAAGGAGAAAAUGAGAAAUCUCUAUAGAAAAAGGGAUGAUUUUAAGGAAAAAUGGAAGGAGCAAAUGAGAAGGAUCUAUAGAGAAAGUGUUCAAAUUAGAGAGAGAAAAAGAGAACGUGUCAUAAGGACUUACAAAGACAAUCCUAGAUUCAGAGAACAACAGAAAGAACGUAUAAAAAGAUCAUACAGACAAUCUCCUGUAUUCAGAGAACAGCAGAAAGAGCGUAUAAGAAAAAUUUACAGAACUUCUGCUGGAUUCAGAGAGAAACAUAAAGCUUUCAUGAGGUCAUAUGCAUAUAAUCUAUAUAAAAAAAAUGAAGAAUUUAAAAAUAAAAAACGAUCUUACAUCACUAAACGUUAUGGAGAAGAGAGACAAUUUCAGCUGCAACACAAGAACAAUAUGAGAGAACGAAUGAGAGUAAAAUAUUGGAACGGUUUUUCUUUUAGACAGAUGCAUAAUAUCAGAUGUGCAAUGAAAAUAAAAAGAAAAUAUUGUCAGAUGCAUCGACCAGCUGAAAGUUUACAGUAUCAUCCAGAUAACACUUUAAUGAAUGAGGCCAUAUCUCGUUUCAGAUCAAACAUUAAGUCAGCACCAUCUUAUGUUUGUACUGUUUGUCUAAAAGCUUCUUUUCCUAAUCAGGUGAAAAUCUGCAAAAGAGAAAAUUACUCAAAACACCAAACUGUAGCUCAGCAGUGUCUAACUGGUAAAUUUGUUCAUGUGUGUGAUGAAGCAUGUAAUGAUCACUGCAGCUUUCCUGUUGAGAGAAAAAAGGAGUAUAUCUGUCACACGUGUCACAGUUCCCUCAAAAGUGGACGCAUGCCAAGGCUUGCUGCUGUCAACGGUUUAGAACUGCAGGAUAUUCCAGCUGAACUGUGUGAUCUCAACAUUCUGGAGAGACAUCUGAUUGCCAAAUGCAUACCAUUUGCAAAGAUUAUUCCACUUCCAAAGGGCAGACAAAGACUCAUACGUGGUAAUGUGGUGUGUGUACCAUCUGAAGUCCAACAAACAGUUGACUGUUUACCUCGGCUCAGAAACCAAUCACAGAUAAUGAGGAUCAAGUUGAAAAGACGACUGUGCUACAAAGGCCAUCAGCUGUUCCAGACUGUCACCUGGUCUAAACUGAUCCAAGCCCUGCGUAAACUCAAACAGAUUCAUCCACAGUACACAGAUAUUGUUAUCAGAGAUGAUGCAUUGCUUUGUGAUCCCACGUUACCUGAUGAUGACAGCAGUGAUGAAGCCAGCAUGGCAAGUGAUGAUUAUAAUGAAGCAGAUUUA
Oreochromis aureus is the source of this 4232-nucleotide long non-coding RNA. NCBI's taxonomy places the organism in Eukaryota, Metazoa, Chordata, Actinopteri, Cichliformes, Cichlidae. The record is from Ensembl.